GAUGAACGCUGGCGGCGUGCCUAAUACAUGCAAGUCGAGCGAACAGACGAGGAGCUUGCUCCUCUGACGUUAGCGGCGGACGGGUGAGUAACACGUGGAUAACCUACCUAUAAGACUGGGAUAACUUCGGGAAACCGGAGCUAAUACCGGAUAAUAUAUUGAACCGCAUGGUUCAAUAGUGAAAGACGGUUUUGCUGUCACUUAUAGAUGGAUCCGCGCCGCAUUAGCUAGUUGGUAAGGUAACGGCUUACCAAGGCAACGAUGCGUAGCCGACCUGAGAGGGUGAUCGGCCACACUGGAACUGAGACACGGUCCAGUCUCCUACGGGAGGCAGCAGUAGGGAAUCUUCCGCAAAGGGCGAAAGCUUGACGGAGCAACGCCGCGUGAGUGAUGAAGGUCUUCGGAUCGUAAAACUCUGUUAUUAGGGAAGAACAAAUGUGUAAGUAACUAUGCACGUCUUGACGGUACCUAAUCAGAAAGCCACGGCUAACUACGUG
This 497-nucleotide ribosomal RNA is filed under the name uncultured bacterium. RNAcentral's name for it is "partial 16S ribosomal RNA". It matches the Rfam family "Bacterial small subunit ribosomal RNA", at positions 28 to 507 of the family's 1533-position model. The record is from RNAcentral.